UAAAUUUAAUAUGUAAAAAUC
RNAcentral lists this non-coding RNA (21 nucleotides) under Caenorhabditis elegans. Lineage: Eukaryota; Metazoa; Nematoda; Chromadorea; Rhabditida; Rhabditidae. The record is from RNAcentral.